Long non-coding RNA from Colius striatus (speckled mousebird), 1255 nucleotides. RefSeq lists it as uncharacterized. NCBI's taxonomy places the organism in Eukaryota, Metazoa, Chordata, Aves, Coliiformes, Coliidae. The transcript has 2 exons. The record is from RefSeq and is a predicted model, not a curated record.
CCCGCCGCCCCGGGCCCUCUCGCGGGGGCCGGAGUCCGCUCGGCGGGGAGGGCUGCGGGCGGGGCGGGAGGCGCGUCCCGCCGCGGGGCGCCGGGGCCGGCCUGGCCGUGCGGGGCCGCCGGAGGGACCCAGCCGCUUCGGGCACGGCCGCAGCUUCCUGGCUCUGCUCGGGAGUGAGCCGAUGCCGACGGCUUUAUUCCUCCGCGACAGGGUUUCUGCAGCCCGGCACCCCUUACCCUCGCGUUUCUUUAGCAGCGUGUGAUUGCUGCCCAAAUAACUGCGGUUUGCUUUGUUUCAAGGCGUAUUUGUAUGUAUAGAGGCCAGCACGAGUGCUUCUAGAUUAUAUUGUUAAAUAUCAUACAUUUUGUUUAUAUUUGUUUACCUGAAGGCUUGGUGAUCCGUGUUUUGUUGUUGGCUUCGUUUCCCCAAAAUACAAGUAAUAGCGUUAAUAUGACUGUUACAUUUGAAAAUGUUAUCCACUGUCUCCUCUGUGUUUCUCACCGAAAAGGGGAAAAAAAAUCCUUUAGUAAGCAGCAGCCCUCUUGUGUCAAUGGGGCCAAAACCCCCUGAGCUACAGGCAUUUUUUAUGAAAUGAGCUCAACAGCAGGUUGGGAGUUGGUUGCUCUGACGGGUCAGUCAUGUCCUCCCGUUUGUGCAGGUAGCAAGUUCAGAACCCUCUGAGCGUUCCUAAUCCUACAAAGGAUACUUAGUUUUUGUCCCGCUUAGCUUUUUGACUCAGCUUACCCUCCAGCUAUGUCAGCACCAGGUUGGCACAAUGGAGGAGGUGAGACUGUGGCAGACUCGGUUUAGAGUGACUUAAGCUGCUGUGACACUACUUUCUGAACUGACCAUUUUAGCCAGGAUGCUCGUUUCUUCUCCCUGUGUCAUCUCAAAAUCAUUCACAUCUCUUUGGAACUGCAGCACCCAAGACUGGAUACAGUACUACAGCUGAGGCCUCAACACCACCAGCAUCUGCUGUCACAGCCCACAUUCCUGUUCACAUGUGCUAAUACAGAUACUUUCGAAUGGGUGUGAGCUGUUCAUGAUUUUGCUGGCCUGUUUUAGCCCCUCAUCCAUUUCUGCUGACCUGCCGAGCCAGUUCUUUCUCUCUCAAGUUGACAGUAAUGCUAAUUGAGAAAUGAUUUACUCCAACAGCCCUAAUGCUCUCCUGUCAUUUUUACUGCUGGACAGAUGGACAGACGAGCGGUCAAGACAUCUGUUGCAAUAAAAUUCCAUGUGAUUUUAAGUUGGAAAA